AUCAGGACAGGCGCGGGUUCUGUGAGUCCAAGCACAGGAAACACCGCACACUCAGUCACUCCUGAGCUUCCAAGCCUGCUUCUGUGGGAGUGGAAAGACUGAGGCCAAGAGUAAGCUGUGGCCUUGUAGACAGUCUCCAUUCGGCCUCCAUCCCUGCCAGCACAGCAGAGGUACCAAACCCCUGUAGGUCAUGGUUGCCAGAAGUGCCUGUGACAGAAGAGACCAAAGCAAAGCAUGGCUUUUCACAUGGCAGAAGACAGCCCAGCAUCUGAACAACUCUUCCAUUCAGAUUCCCAAGGUGCUACAUAUCCACAGCCAAUGGGAAGGAGACGCUCUACGUAGUGUUUGUUCUCUCUACGCGGUAAUUUUACCAUGCCCAGAGGAGCGGAGAUGCACAGGGGAAUUACAGGGCGCUUGCCCACGGUUCCUGAUGGAACUUAGGUUUUUCUUACCCUGAGAUCUAAAUCAAGACAAGAGGACAAAGAAGCCCAGGCCCCACGGCCACAGCAUUACUGCCAACCCUCUCUGAAGUUACCAUGGCUAAAAACUGGAAUCCCUACUGGCUUCUCUCUUUAAAACACAACUUUUACUAAAUGUGGUGAGUUGCUGACUGUUAAGACAAUGGGCCUGUCCAAGAAACUUGUUUAGGAAUCAAGGGGAGAAAGACAUUGAGGGGCCCAAGAACAGAUGAAUUGCUCCCGAGAAUGGGAAACAAAUGAGCCGAGGUAUAAAUGGAUGAAAAACAAAAGGAAGAGAUUCCUGGAACAAUGUGGACUAUUGAAGGGAGAGCUGCAGGGACAGAGACCCAGGUCGUGGGACCAGCUGGGGAGUGGUGGGACAGGGGAGCUGAGCUGUCAGCUUACAGCUCAGGCUAAGGCUCUUCUCCCCAGCAACCCUGUGUUCCCGUUUUUCUUGCCGCCAUUAUCUGGUCUGCUGCAGUUUUGUGGUUGUAAAAAGGAGCAGGGAGGGAGAUACACUAGAUGGGUUUCAGAUCCACCCGCUCCCUCUCCAACACUGGCUGGGUCAGCUGUGCACAAUCUACAGCGGCCAUUCCUUUCUUUUUGAGAACUGCCUGCAGAGAAAGGCUUUUGGGUAAUUUCAGUGUAACAUACAGGCCUCUGAGUAACUCCAUCUCAUUGUUCCCUGUAGAUAAUGGGGGUGUUCAGGAGCACAAUAAUGGACCCCGGGGAAUCUCCCUUACCCCAAGUGGAAUUAAGGUAUCUCCUUCUCUCUAGAACACACAAUUACCUUGUCUUCAGGGUACAUCCACUAGGAGUUUUGUCUAGCUGAAGUCCAAUGAUGAUGAUGAUGGUGGUGGUGGUGAUGAUGAUGAUUUUGUGGAGCACGGACUCUUUUUGACUUAUGAUAGAGCUCUGCCCUGUAAAUUUAUUGUAAGCUGAAGACAUUUUGAAGUUGAAAACAUACUGAACAUAUCCAACCAGUGGAACAUCAUGGUUUAGUAACACAGGACACUAGGGUAGCAUGUAUCCCCUUGUGAUCACAUGACCAGGACCCACAUGUAUGUUGUGCCUAGCAUGAUGAAAGAAUAUCUUAUUGCCUAUCACUAGCAGCAGGGAAGCAGGGAGGUCCAAAAGCAAAAUUCAAACUAUGGGCUCUAUGGGAUGUCUAUGGCUUGCACACCAUUGUAGAGUUGAAACCUUGCAAGACCAACCACUGUGAGUCUCAGAUGGUAGAGGGCCAUCUCUGGUGACCAAGACCAUUAGUGAUAUUUGCAUGGGGAGUGGACAGUUUUUGUUCCCUACCUCUCCAGGGCCUGAGUCAGUCCAAUCUGUGAGCUUUCCUCUUAUGUGGCUGCAGUUCUGGGUUUCUCAUUCAGAAGCCAUCAUAGUUAAGUCUUAGACUCCUUGGGAAGAUAGGGCCACACCUUCCACUGAGGCUCAGCAUCGCUGCCUCCGGGAUGGAAGACACCAAGACAAGUUCUGAUCCUAGCCGAUUACCUCACAUGAAGGAAUGAGGCCCCGAGAGGAGACAAAUGGCCAGCCUAUGACCACACAGGUCAUAUCAGAGAGUCGAUUAGGGCCAAGGUCUCCCUUACAGAACCCAUGCAACUGUUUGGUAACAGAACCAAAGUCAAGGUCACUGGUUUCAACCUGGGCUCUGUAAUAAGGACAGAAACACGUGGCUCCCUCUUCAGUAGAUGCAUGUUCCCCACAUUUCUUCCUUUCUCAUAGGGACAGGACGAGGGGGUGGAGAGUCUUUGGAGCAUUAGAGGAAAAAAUUCCAAGGUCAGAGACAAUGUGUCAGAGGAUCGGACUGUGUCAUCUGGCUGUUACUGCAUCUGUAGGCAGUGGAGAUGCCUACAACGGAGAGCCUCUUUCUUUUCUCCUUCAUGGGGCUAAUGUUCUCCCAGGGGACAGAAUGAGCUUCUUCACAGGUUCCCUAUAUCAGGGCUGAGUCUCCAGCAGACGCUGCCACCAGGUGCAUUUAUUCUCACGGAUCCUCUUGGGCAUUAGCAUUCCUUCUUUUCAGAGAAAGCCACUGAGGUCCAGAGGGGCACUCACUCAAGGUCACCUCACCAGGAAGGGGCAUCGUCGACUCUAACCCACAGGUGCUCUGGCAGUCACUCUUCUGCCUCAGAUGUGAAGGGACUGCAAAGCCAGGCAAGGGUCAGGGAGCCUGAAGGACAGAGUCCUAGAGGUCCCAGAUAUGUCGUAUGGCAUCCCGAGGGCACCUGCUAUAGGACCCAGCUUCCCUUUAACCUUGGCCUGCUCCCCAGCACACCUCUCAGCUCUCCUUAGCAUCAUUCCUCAUUUUCACUUAUUUCCCCAGUUCAAACCUCAAAGUCACUCUUGGGAGAAAACAUCUUUUUGCUCUAUCCUAAUGGGUUGGGUUUAGUUCAGCAUACUUAUUAUUCUAGCUUGUCCCCGAGCAAGCGUGCCCAGGGUCUUUACAACACACGCACGCACACACUCCAAAAUGCAUGUCUGCACUUGAAAAGAAGAAAAUGUAGCAGCAGCUUUGGGAGCGAGUUUGACUAAUUUCUUCUCCACUUGAGAAGCAUCGAGAAGUUUCUUCAAAGCUAGAGAAUGAGAAACUACAGUUUUGGAAACCUGGAAAUGCAGAGAUAUGAGGACAUGAAACAGCAUGGGGAGGGGAGCUGGUAUCCUAGAAUGUCAGAGAAGUCUGAGCAAAGGAGGAUGCUUGGAGUGUGAGGCCAGAGAAAGGUAGCAAAUAUUCCAUCUCCCAAGGUAAAUUGAGGAUUGUGGCUGUGAGUAUAGAGAAGAUGGGCUGGGGUGUAAAUGUUAUAUCAUGGUGGCUACAGAGGGACUGUCUCAGCAACAGGUCACAAGCCAGGACACCUGCACCCCCCACCUCCCAUGCCAUCUCACCGUGUAGCCCUAGUUGGCCAGUACUUGCUAGGCAAUCCAGGCUGGCCUUGAGUUUUCAGCAGUCCUCCAGCCUCAGCCCCCCUCCCCCCCCCCAGCAGUGGGAUUACAGGCAUGUGCCGCCAAACCUGAAUAAACUUUUCACUUUAUUUUGUAAUUUAAUACCUAUAUGCCUUUAUGAUAUAACAAAAUAAAUCAAUAUUCAUACACAAUGUGUAGUAGUCAAAUCAGGGUAAAAUAAGGAUUUCUGUCUUCUCAAAUAGUAUUUCUAUUUGCUGGAAAACAUUGCUUGCUCUCUUUUUUAGAUUUAUUUAUUUUUAUGUGUAUAUGGGAGUUUUGCCUGCAUGUAUGUUUGCCCACCAUGAGUCCCAUGGAAGCCAGAACUGGACAAGAAUUAUGGAUACUUGUGAGCCAGCAUAUGUGUUCUGGGAACCAACUGUAUCUUCUGCAAAGACAAGUGUUCUUAGCUGCUUAGCCAUCUCUCCAGUCCCUUCUCUUUUACUCUGAAACACUGUUGUAGACUGUGGUUAGCCAACUCUACAGUAGAACACCAGAACUUUUAAGUCUUUGUACCCAGCUCUGUUUUGUUGGCCUAUAAACUGAUUUCUUUCAGUUCCCAUGUGAUUCUGUACCUUUCCACUUUUUUAGUAACUGCUAUCCCACUCUCUUGCUUAAGAUCAAUAUUAAAUCACUACAAACAAACAAAUAAGAACAUGAAGUAAGUCUCUCUGUGGCUGCCUAGUUUCACUUGUCCAUCAGUCCUUUCAUCUUUGGUGUAAGUGACAGGACUUCAGUUUUUUAUGGCUCAGUAACAGUGUUAGGCACAUAUGUCUUACUUUCUUCAUUCAUUCACACUUUGAUGGGCAGCUUGGUUGGUACCAGAUCUUGGCUACUGGGAAUGGUGCUGUGCUUAGCAUAAGAGCACAGGUGUCUCCUUCAUGUAAGAGUUAAUUUCUUUGCAUAAAUACUUGGUUGUGAGAGUGCCAGUUCGUAGGGGAGUUCAAGGGUUCUCGACCUUCCUAAUACUGUGAGCCUUUUAAUACAGUUCCU
Long non-coding RNA from Mus musculus (house mouse), 4397 nucleotides. RefSeq annotates it as predicted gene, 33724. The record is from RefSeq and is a predicted model, not a curated record. NCBI's taxonomy places the organism in Eukaryota, Metazoa, Chordata, Mammalia, Rodentia, Muridae. The transcript has 3 exons.